AUUGAACGCUGGCGGCAGGCCUAACACAUGCAAGUCGAGCGGAUGAAGGGAGCUUGCUCCUGGAUUCAGCGGCGGACGGGUGAGUAAUGCCUAGGAAUCUGCCUGGUAGUGGGGGAUAACGUCCGGAAACGGGCGCUAAUACCGCAUACGUCCUGAGGGAGAAAGUGGGGGAUCUUCGGACCUCACGCUAUCAGAUGAGCCUAGGUCGGAUUAGCUAGUUGGUGGGGUAAAGGCCUACCAAGGCGACGAUCCGUAACUGGUCUGAGAGGAUGAUCAGUCACACUGGAACUGAGACACGGUCCAGACUCCUACGGGAGGCAGCAGUAGGGAAUAUUGGACAAUGGGCGAAAGCCUGAUCCAGCCACGCCGCGUGUGUGAAGAAGGUCUUCGGAUUGUAAAGCACUUUAAGUUGGGAGGAAGGGCAGUAAGUUAAUACCUUGCUGUUUUGACGUUACCAACAGAAUAAGCACCGGCUAACUUCGUG
RNAcentral lists this ribosomal RNA (484 nucleotides) under uncultured bacterium. RNAcentral describes it as "partial 16S ribosomal RNA". It matches the Rfam family "Bacterial small subunit ribosomal RNA", at positions 30 to 507 of the family's 1533-position model. The record is from RNAcentral.